UACGUAGGGUGCGAGCGUUAAUCGGAAUUACUGGGCGUAAAGCGUGCGCAGGCGGCUCCUUAAGUCAGAUGUGAAAGCCCCGGGCUUAACCUGGGAACUGCGUUUGAAACUGGGGAGCUAGAGUGUAGAAGAGGCGAGUGGAAUUCCUGGUGUAGCGGUGAAAUGCGCAGAUAUCAGGAGGAACACCGGUGGCGAAGGCGGGACUCUGGGCCGAUACUGACGCUGAGGAGCGAAAGCGUGGGGAGCGAACAGG
This 253-nucleotide ribosomal RNA is filed under the name uncultured bacterium. Its description in RNAcentral is "partial 16S ribosomal RNA". It matches the Rfam family "Bacterial small subunit ribosomal RNA", at positions 524 to 776 of the family's 1533-position model. The record is from RNAcentral.